ACAUUGGUGUGCACGAACUAUUUUUAGAGUGUAUUGAUUGACCUGUGAACUUGAUGACGUUUUCAGAAACUAUAGUCAGUUUCAAAUUAGUCCUUGGCUGAAACAGCUGAUUUUGACAGGAGCAGAUAAUUUGUUAUUAAGAAUGGCUGCUAAAGAAGUAAAAGAAAAGAACUCAGUUGUAGGAGCAAAAUCGAUCCAUUGUUUAAAGUGCAAAAAGAAGACAAAAAGCUUACAAAUGUCUAUCAUGAGGAAUCCUGCAACCAAAAGAAGGAGAGUUAAAGCCGUCUGUGCAGUUUGCAGUACAAAAAAAUCAAUGUUCGUCAAUAAAAGUUUCAAAUGAAGAUGACGAUGAUAGAAUAGAAAGAAGGACAUAUUUAUUUUUUCAAUUAUAUUUAGAUAUUUAUUUACCCUUUUAAUUAAAAACUGUUGUUUUUUUUAAA
Molecule: long non-coding RNA, 440 nt
Organism: Mytilus trossulus (common blue mussel)
Lineage: Eukaryota; Metazoa; Mollusca; Bivalvia; Mytilida; Mytilidae
Exons: 2
Source: RefSeq, a predicted model, not a curated record